CCUACGGGCGGCAGCAGUGAGGAAUAUUGGUCAAUGGACGAGAGUCUGAACCAGCCAAGUAGCGUGAAGGAUGACUGCCCUAUGGGUUGUAAACUUCUUUUAUAAAGGAAUAAAACGAGGCACGUGUGCCUUUUUGCAUGUACUUGAAGAAAAAGCAUCGGCUAACUCCGUGCCAGCAGCCGCGGUAAUACGGAGGAUGCGAGCGUUAUCCGGAUUUAUUGGGUUGAAAGGGUGUGUAGGCGGACUGUUAAGUCAGCGGUAAAAGCCCGGGGCUCAACCCCGGCGAGCCGUUGAAACUGGCUGUCUUGAGAUGUCGAGAGGUAUGCGGAAUGCGCAGUGUAGCGGUGAAAUGCUUAGAUAUUGCGCAGAACUCCGAUUGCGAAGGCAGCAUACCGGCGGCGAUCUGACGCUGAGGCACGAAAGCGUGGGUAUCGAACAGGAUUAGAUACCCCUGUAGUC
Molecule: ribosomal RNA, 459 nt
Filed under: uncultured bacterium
Lineage: Bacteria
Description: partial 16S ribosomal RNA
Rfam family: Bacterial small subunit ribosomal RNA
Source: RNAcentral